UACGAGGGGGGCGAGCGUUGUUCGGAAUUACUGGGCGUAAAGCGCGUGUAGGUGGCGAUGUAAGUCGGGUGUGAAAUCCCUCAGCUUAACUGAGGAAGUGCACUCGAUACUGUGUCGCUUGAGUGUUGGAGGGGAUGGCGGAAUUCCCGGUGUAGAGGUGAAAUUCGUAGAUAUCGGGAGGAACACCUGUGGCGAAGGCGGCCAUCUGGACAACUACUGACACUGAGACGCGAAAGCGUGGGUAGCAAACAGG
Molecule: ribosomal RNA, 253 nt
Filed under: uncultured bacterium
Lineage: Bacteria
Description: partial 16S ribosomal RNA
Rfam family: Bacterial small subunit ribosomal RNA
Source: RNAcentral